Anopheles funestus (African malaria mosquito) is the source of this 711-nucleotide long non-coding RNA. RefSeq lists it as uncharacterized. The transcript has 3 exons. The record is from RefSeq and is a predicted model, not a curated record. NCBI's taxonomy places the organism in Eukaryota, Metazoa, Arthropoda, Insecta, Diptera, Culicidae.
CAAAUUCCCAUUAAAAUAUAUCACAUUUAUAAAUUUUGCUACAUUGGUGAAAAAUGAGGAAAAUUUUACAUUUUUUCAAACAGGGUAAGGAACUUGGUUCCGCGAAUAACUUCUGGCACAGACAUCUGAGGGCAUGGCCGUCCAAGAAGAAAAUGUAGCCAUUGGUGCCAUCUAUCGACCACAAGUUAAAGAUUGGCGAUCCGUUGGAUACCGACCGAGUUAUAGGUAAAACUUGGUGCAAAAAUUAGGAAAAUUUUACAUUUUCUCAAACAGGGUAAGGAACUUGGUUCCUCGAAUAACUUCUGGCACAGACAUCUGAGGGCAUGGCCGUCCAAGAAGAAAAUGUAGCCAUUGGUGUCAUCUAUUGACCACAAGUUAAAGAUUGGCGAUUUGUUGGAUACCGACCGAGUUAUAGGUAAAAGUUGGUGCAAAAAUUAGGAAAAUUUUACAUUUUCUCAAACAGGGUAAGGAACUUGUUUCCUCGAAUAACUUCUGGCACAGACAUCUGAGGGCAUGGCCGUCCAAGAAGAAAAUGUAGCCAUUGGUGCCAUCUAUCGACCACAAGUUAAAGAUUGGCGAUCCGUUGGAUACCGACCGAGUUAUAGGUAAAAGUUGGUGCAAAAAUGAGGAAAAUUUUACAUUUUCUCAAACAGGGUAAGGAACUUGGUUCCUCGAAUAACUUCUGGCACAGACAUCUGAGGGCAUGGCCGU